Molecule: ribosomal RNA, 934 nt
Filed under: uncultured bacterium
Lineage: Bacteria
Description: bacterial SSU rRNA
Rfam family: Bacterial small subunit ribosomal RNA
Source: RNAcentral
AGAGUUUGAUCAUGGCUCAGAAUCAACGCUGGCGGCGCGCCUAACACAUGCAAGUCGAACGAGAAAGGGGAGCAAUCCCUGAGUACAGUGGCGUACGGGUGAGUAACACGUGGAUGAUCUACCUUCUGGUGAGGAAUAACCCUGGGAAACCGGGGCUAAUACCGCAUAAGCCCGAGAGGGGAAAGUCGCAAGACGCCGGAAGAGGAGUCCGCGGCCGAUUAGCUAGUUGGCAGGGUAAAAGCCUACCAAGGCGAAGAUCGGUAGCCGGCCUGAGAGGGCACACGGCCACACCGGCACUGAAACACGGGCCAGACUCCUACGGGAGGCAGCAGUGGGGAAUCUUGCACAAUGGGGGAAACCCUGAUGCAGCGACGCCGCGUGAGCGAUGAAGCCCUUCGGGGUGUAAAGCUCUUUCGGCAGGGAAGAUGAUGACGGUACCUGCAGAAGCAGCUGCGGCUAACUACGUGCCAGCAGCCGCGGUAAUACGUAGGCAGCAAGCGUUGUUCGGAGUUACUGGGCGUAAAGGGUGUGUAGGCGGUUGUUUAAGUUUGGUGUGAAAUCUCCCGGCUCAACUGGGAGGGUGCGCCGAAUACUGAAUGACUCGAGUGCGGGAGAGGAGAGUGGAAUUCCUGGUGUAGCGGUGAAAUGCGUAGAUAUCAGGAGGAACACCGGUGGUGUAGACGGCUCUCUGGACCGUAACUGACGCUGAGACACGAAAGCGUGGGUAGCAAACAGGAUUAGAUACCCUGGUAGUCCACGCCCUAAACGAUGCAUAUUUGGUGUGGGCAGUUCAGUCUGUCCGUGCCGGAGCUAACGCGUUAAAUAUGCCGCCUGGGGGAGUACAGUCGCAAGCUGAAACUCAAAGAAUUGACGGGGCCCGCACAAGCGGUGGAGCAUGUGGUUCAAUUCGACGCAACGCGAAGAACCUUACCUG